CUUCACUUUUUAUCCCGUUCUUUGCGUUUUAAUUGAGAUCGACGAGUAAGUGGAACGAUAUGAAUAGUGAGAAUUAAUUCAUAUACGUAGCUGAUCUUAGUUGAUUGGAUUGAGACGUACUUGUUGUUUGAUUUUGAGUAUAUUUGGCCCUUUUCCGAAAAAUAUAUCAUGUUCAAGCUCCGAAAGGAGCAAUAUUACUAGUUUGGUAGAGUUUUCUUUUUACUA
Long non-coding RNA from Lycium ferocissimum, 225 nucleotides. RefSeq lists it as uncharacterized. Lineage: Eukaryota; Viridiplantae; Streptophyta; Magnoliopsida; Solanales; Solanaceae. The transcript is spliced from 2 exons. The record is from RefSeq and is a predicted model, not a curated record.